UACGGAGGGUGCAAGCGUUGUUCGGAUUGACUGGGCGUAAAGGGCGCGUAGGCGGUCGGCCAAGUCUGAUGUGAAAGCCCGAGGCUCAGCCUCGGAAGUGCGUCGGAAACUAGUCGGCUGGAGCGCGAUAGAGGAGGGUGGAAUUCCUGGUGUAGCGGUGAAAUGCGUAGAUAUCGGGAGGAACACCGGUGGCGAAGGCGGUUCUCUGGGCCUGUACUGACGCUGAGGAGCGAAAGCGUGGGGAGCGAACAGG
This 253-nucleotide ribosomal RNA is filed under the name uncultured bacterium. RNAcentral's name for it is "partial 16S ribosomal RNA". It matches the Rfam family "Bacterial small subunit ribosomal RNA", at positions 524 to 776 of the family's 1533-position model. The record is from RNAcentral.